GACGAACGCUGGCGGCGUGCUUAACACAUGCAAGUCGAACGGAAAGGCCCUGCUUUUGUGGGGUGCUCGAGUGGCGAACGGGUGAGUAACACGUGAGUAACCUGCCCCUGACUUUGGGAUAACUUCAGGAAACUGGGGCUAAUACCGGAUAGGAGCUCCUGCUGCAUGGUGGGGGUUGGAAAGUUUCGGCGGUUGGGGAUGGACUCGCGGCUUAUCAGCUUGUUGGUGGGGUAGUGGCUUACCAAGGCUUUGACGGGUAGCCGGCCUGAGAGGGUGACCGGCCACAUUGGGACUGGGAUACGGCCCAGACUCCUACGGGAGGCAGCAGUGGGGAAUAUUGCACAAUGGGCGGAAGCCUGAUGCAGCAACGCCGCGUGCGGGAUGACGGCCUUCGGGUUGUAAACCGCUUUCGCCUGGGACGAAGCGUGAGUGACGGUAAUGGGUAAAGAAGCACCGGCUAACUACGUG
This 468-nucleotide ribosomal RNA is filed under the name uncultured bacterium. Its description in RNAcentral is "partial 16S ribosomal RNA". It matches the Rfam family "Bacterial small subunit ribosomal RNA", at positions 28 to 507 of the family's 1533-position model. The record is from RNAcentral.